UACCCUUUGGUCAGAGUGCACCAACUUCGAUGGCGAAGCCGCGCCUACACAACUGCACAGAUCAACAUUGGUGGUUUGAAGUUGAAGAUGGCGAGGUUAACGCUAACAUUGCUGGCAUUGUCAUUGACUAUCGUAUAGUUGUUGUGCAAGUAGACAAGUGGACCAAAGACGAUACAGUCGCAAUACAAGCUGGAAAACGCCAUCAUGACCAGGAUGCGGACGUGUACUUCGUCAAAGUCAAGAGAUUCCUUGUGGGUGAGAACCUUUUCUGUCAGAAGUUUCGUGGAUGUUUGACGGCUGAUCAGUUUCGUGACAAGUAAUAUGAUCUGGACGCGUUUGGACCAUUCAGCAAGAUACACCCGCGAAAAGGAAAAACACUGGAGCUCACGAUCGUCGUGAAGGUAAUGUUGGGGCGGCAACAUCUUUGGUUGCUUCAACGUCCACCGCUACCACCUCCAAGACAACACCGAAGGCUCCCAGGUCCACCUCGGUCCGAUCCAAGUCAACACUGACGGCUUCCAAAUCCAUCAACAGUGACGUCGACAGCGGGGACGGAUUUGAGCGUCAAAAGAGAACAACGCCCAUUCCAGACAAGGAACUGGUGAUUCGACUCUUCAUGGCGAGGAGACAUGUGACUGCGGAGGCGCUUGCAACUGCCACACUUCCACGUCAAACAAAGAGGAGAACUGUUAUCUUCCAGUGGGUCGCAUCAAAGAUGCCAUUUGAUCAAAACGUGCGUUCGCUGACGAUGUGCCGUCUUGAGUGCCGUUUAAAAGGAAUUGGAACCGUUUGCAUGGACCGAGACCGCGCGCAGCAAGAUUCUCCAACACGUCACCUGCACGCUUGAAUCCUCCCCACUGCGACUGAUGCUCCGUUCUCGAGCACUGUCCAAAACCGUCCCCAUUGCAACCUUUAUAUUACGACAAGUACAUGUGAUUGCGGUUUGACUACAUUCGUCCACGAACAAUAGAUUCAAUUGCUUAUUCAUAUUGCGCUAGGGUACUGCCAUAUGAUUUUUGUAAUUUGUAAUUUGUAAUACAAUGUGUAAUCCCAAAUGUCGGGAAGUUGUGAUGCCACAUAUGUUGCCAGUAGUCUCUGAUUGUUCUUUCUUUCGUGUUUUUGCUUCACUGCUGAGUUUAUACCGCAAACGUUUGCGCAUCGAAUUGUAUCGAGCACAAGCUGAAUUUGAAUUAGUUGAUAAGGGCCAUGUAGAUUUAGAACUUGUAAUUAGAGCUAUCAGUAACAAACGAAUAGCUUGAAUUACAUUGCUGACGAAUGCUCAACAAGGGCAUG
This is a long non-coding RNA of Branchiostoma floridae (Florida lancelet), 1293 nucleotides long. RefSeq lists it as uncharacterized. The transcript has 4 exons. The record is from RefSeq and is a predicted model, not a curated record. NCBI's taxonomy places the organism in Eukaryota, Metazoa, Chordata, Leptocardii, Amphioxiformes, Branchiostomatidae.